CCUACGGGAGGCAGCAGUGAGGAAUAUUGGUCAAUGGACGAGAGUCUGAACCAGCCAAGUAGCGUGAAGGAUGACUGCCCUAUGGGUUGUAAACUUCUUUUAUAGGGGAAUAAAAUGUUCCACGUGUGGGAUUUUGUAUGUACCAUAUGAAUAAGGAUCGGCUAACUCCGUGCCAGCAGCCGCGGUAAUACGGAGGAUCCGAGCGUUAUCCGGAUUUAUUGGGGUUAAAGGGAGCGUAGGUGGAUUGUUAAGUAAGUGGGGAAAGUUUGCGGCUCAACCGUAAAAUUGCAGUUGAAACGGGCCGUCUUUAGUACAGUAGCGGUGGGCGGACUUCGUGGUGUAGCGGUG
Molecule: ribosomal RNA, 348 nt
Filed under: uncultured bacterium
Lineage: Bacteria
Description: partial 16S ribosomal RNA
Rfam family: Bacterial small subunit ribosomal RNA
Source: RNAcentral